GUAGUCAGUAUUCAAACUGAAUUGCUCUUCUGAAUCGUCUCUGGAUGAUCCCAUCGUCUCUCACGUAGUCACGUACUCACGUUUCUAAGUUUGCUAGUUUUUUAGUUUUUUUUAUUCUAACUUACGGCUAGAGUCGUGAGUCGUGACCUAAGUGGAUGUAGGGUUUUUUUAAAUUUGAUCCCUAUUUUUAAUUAAAUUUUGUAAAAUUAGGAAACUUAAAAAUUAAAACAAUUCAAACAAUAUUCUCAAAGAACAAUUCAAACAAUAUUCUCAAACAUUCCCGAGUCCUAACUCCUAACUUCCUAAGUCAGUUCAAACAACAUUCUCAAACAACAAUUCAAACAACAGAUCGAACAACAUUCCCGAGUCCUACCUAAACCGUGACUCAUAUCUAAACAAUGAGUUCCCCUAUCU
This 414-nucleotide long non-coding RNA is filed under the name Brassica napus (rape). Its description in RNAcentral is "long non-coding RNA (BNAP_LNC006849)". Lineage: Eukaryota; Viridiplantae; Streptophyta; Magnoliopsida; Brassicales; Brassicaceae. The record is from RNAcentral.